CUUGCCCGAGAUCGCACAGCAGACGUGGAGGAGCCGGGAUUAGAACCCACGGCCAGAUCACUGCCCUCGUGGAGCUAACGAUCUGUCAAUCGCCGGUACUGAUCGAGCGCCUUUCUGUGUGCAGAGCACUUUGCGAAGCCCUCGGGAGAGUCCACAAGAGGUAAAAGACAAGAUCCCGGCCUUCAAGGAGCUAAAGAGGGAAGUCACCAAACGAUUUCCAGGCUGGAGGAGCAAGAAGGCGGAGAGGGCCAGUCCCAGCCGAUCCCGGAUCCCGAAAACCCACCGUGCUUGGUCUGAGCCAGGAUUUGGGGAGAAUUACGAGUGUCUGGACCACCCAGAAAACGGCAUCUGUCAGUUCCCGUCCAGACGAGGGGCCGGCGAUGACAUCGGGCGGCAGGGAAGUUCCCGCAAAUGGAAAAACAAAAUCCAUCUUUGUGGACACGGAUUCUCCCUGAAAGUCUCGACAAUUGCGUCACCCCAGAUGAAGCCGGGGGUAACACGUUACAGAGAGAGGAAGUCACCAGCAGGUAAAAUCGACCUCCGGCGCUCUGAGAUCCGGUCCGGAAAGUUCCGGCCUCGCCGCUGAAGAACGCAGUUAGUGCGGCCCAGUGUUUCCUCUUCUUUCGGCCUCGCCCAAGCGCUCAGUACAGUGGUCUGCACACGAAGAGACCGGAGGAAACCUUGGAGAAACAACACAUCGCGGAGGGUCGUCCGACAAAGCCAAGAAGCGGCGGGCCCGGGCCCCGGGCCCAGACAGCUGAAGCUUCCUC
Ornithorhynchus anatinus (platypus) is the source of this 770-nucleotide long non-coding RNA. RefSeq lists it as uncharacterized. The transcript has 4 exons. Lineage: Eukaryota; Metazoa; Chordata; Mammalia; Monotremata; Ornithorhynchidae. The record is from RefSeq and is a predicted model, not a curated record.